GAGAAUGCGUAAUCAAUUCCAUUCCCGAUCGUGAACGGCUGAUCGCAUACACCACAAAAUAACAAGUCGCUAGUGCUGUUUUGUAUGAAGUUGAGUGAGACUGUGUUCACACAGAGACACUUUUUUCGCUCAGUAUCGACAAAUUCUCUUUUCGUGUUAACAUAGGCAACAUGAGCCAUCCGGCUUGAGUCGGACAAUUUUCUUUCAUAUCACAUUCUCAAGUUCUUGUACGUGGUGCACAAAAGUAUUUUUGAUUAGCUAAUUUUUAUUCACCCUUUUCUAAAACAUAUCUAUAACACAUUGCAAGGAUAAUACAAUUUAAAUUUCCGAAUAUAAAAUGAAAGUAUCAGUUGAUAUUCGGCUUUCAUUCAUAGCUCGGGAGCACGGUCCUAACGCCUUUCCUCGUCGCCCCUUCGCCAACAAAAACCUGUUUGGACGACAAGGAACCCUUCGUGUGAACUCAGUCUCAGCAGCUGGAGAAGAGACUUUUUCAUAAAAAACUGAAAUUCACGACAUAUGGCGGUUGGAAGUAAAAUUGGUCAUCAUAGUUGUUCUCACUUUCAUUCACGCUUUUCAACGUUAUGCUUGAAAGUCAGUCUAUUCUUUUGAGACUUCAAUGGAAAUGGUUAAGCUUGGACUCGACCAACAAGUUCCCUUUAGCAAUUAACAUACAUAUGUAUGUAUGUAUGUAUGUAUGUAUGUAUAGCUUUUUGUCUACCAACUCAUCAUUUACUCAUCAACAGUAGAUCACACGUAUGUAUGUAAGUCGUGUCAAGCUG
This is a long non-coding RNA of Bactrocera tryoni, 779 nucleotides long. RefSeq lists it as uncharacterized. The transcript has 3 exons. The record is from RefSeq and is a predicted model, not a curated record. Lineage: Eukaryota; Metazoa; Arthropoda; Insecta; Diptera; Tephritidae.